AACGAACGCUGGCGGCAGGCUUAACACAUGCAAGUCGAACGCACCGCAAGGUGAGUGGCAGACGGGUGAGUAACACGUGGGGAUCUGCCCAAGGGUACGGAAUAGCUGCUGGACACUCGAAUUAAUAGCGUAUAUGCUCUUCGGGGGAAAGAUUUAUCGCCAUUGGAUGAACGCGAGUCGGAUUAGCUAGUUGGUGAGGUAAAGGCUCACAAAGGCGACGGUCCGUAGCUGGUCUGAGAGGAUGAUCAGCCACACUGGGACUGAGACACGGCCCAGACUCCUACGGGAGGCAGCAGUGGGGGAUAUUGGACAAUGGGCGCAAGCCUGAUCCAGCCAUGCCGCGUGAGUGAUGAAGGCCUUAGGGUUGUAAAGCUCUUUCGCCGACGAAGAUAAUGACGGUAGUCGGAGAAGAAGCCCCGGCUAACUUCGUGCCAGCCGCCGCCGUAA
Molecule: ribosomal RNA, 447 nt
Filed under: uncultured bacterium
Lineage: Bacteria
Description: partial 16S ribosomal RNA
Rfam family: Bacterial small subunit ribosomal RNA
Source: RNAcentral